UACGAAGGGAGCUAGCGUUGUUCGGAAUCACUGGGCGUAAAGCGCACGUAGGCGGAUUUGUAAGUCAGGGGUGAAAUCCCGGGGCUCAACCUCGGAACUGCCUCUGAUACUGCAGAUCUCGAAUCCGGUAGAGGUGGGUGGAAUUCCUAGUGUAGAGGUGAAAUUCGUAGAUAUUAGGAAGAACACCAGUGGCGAAGGCGGCCCACUGGACCGGUAUUGACGCUGAGGUGCGAAAGCGUGGGGAGCAAACAGG
This 253-nucleotide ribosomal RNA is filed under the name uncultured bacterium. RNAcentral describes it as "partial 16S ribosomal RNA". It matches the Rfam family "Bacterial small subunit ribosomal RNA", at positions 524 to 776 of the family's 1533-position model. The record is from RNAcentral.